RNAcentral lists this ribosomal RNA (253 nucleotides) under uncultured prokaryote. Its description in RNAcentral is "partial 16S ribosomal RNA". It matches the Rfam family "Bacterial small subunit ribosomal RNA", at positions 524 to 777 of the family's 1533-position model. The record is from RNAcentral.
UACGGAGGAUGCGAGCGUUAUCCGGAUUUAUUGGGUUUAAAGGGUGCGUAGGCGGCUUUUAAGUCAGCGGUGAAAUUUUGCAGCUUAACUGUAACAGUGCCGUUGAUACUGGGGAGCUAGGAUUUGGUUGCUGUGGGUGGAAUGUGUGGUGUAGCGGUGAAAUGCUUAGAGAUCACACAGAAUAUCGAUUGCGAAGGCAGCUCACAAAGCCAAGAUUGACGCUGAGGCACGAAAGUGUGUGGAUCAAACAGGA